This 268-nucleotide ribosomal RNA is filed under the name Pneumocystis sp. L14 AL-2021. RNAcentral describes it as "partial small subunit ribosomal RNA". It matches the Rfam family "Bacterial small subunit ribosomal RNA", at positions 1039 to 1324 of the family's 1533-position model. Lineage: Eukaryota; Fungi; Ascomycota; Pneumocystomycetes; Pneumocystales; Pneumocystaceae. The record is from RNAcentral.
UGAAGCAUGUUGUUUAAUUCGUGUUGUGAAAUGUUAGGUUUAUUCCGAGAACGAACGCAACCCUUAUCUUUAAUUAUAUUUGAAUUAAAUAGAAGCAUCUUUCGAUAAGAAAGAAUAAUUAGGAUGAAGACAAGUCCUCAUGACCCUUAUGAAGUGGGCUACAGACGUGCCACAAAGAUUUCUACAAAAGGAAGCAAAGACCCAAGUUUGAGCCAAUCCUCAAAAGGAAUCCAAGUACGAAUAAGAAUCUGGAACUCGAUUCUUUGAA